RNAcentral lists this ribosomal RNA (468 nucleotides) under uncultured bacterium. RNAcentral's name for it is "partial 16S ribosomal RNA". It matches the Rfam family "Bacterial small subunit ribosomal RNA", at positions 28 to 507 of the family's 1533-position model. The record is from RNAcentral.
GACGAACGCUGGCGGCGUGCUUAACACAUGCAAGUCGAACGGAAAGGCCCUGCUUUUGUGGGGUGCUCGAGUGGCGAACGGGUGAGUAACACGUGAGUAACCUGCCCUUGACUUUGGGAUAACUUCAGGAAACUGGGGCUAAUACCGGAUAGGAGCUCCUGCUGCAUGGUGGGGGUUGGAAAGUUUCGGCGGUUGGGGAUGGACUCGCGGCUUAUCAGCUUGUUGGUGGGGUAGUGGCUUACCAAGGCUUUGACGGGUAGCCGGCCUGAGAGGGUGACCGGCCACAUGGGGACUGAGAUACGGCCCAGACUCCUACGGGAGGCAGCAGUGGGGAAUAUUGCACAAUAGGCGGAAGCCUGAUGCAGCAACGCCGCGUGCGGGAUGACGGCCUUCGGGUUGUAAACCGCUUUCGCCUGUGACGAAGCGUGAGUGACGGUAAUGGGUAAAGAAGCACCGGCUAACUACGUG